This 438-nucleotide ribosomal RNA is filed under the name uncultured bacterium. RNAcentral describes it as "partial 16S ribosomal RNA". It matches the Rfam family "Bacterial small subunit ribosomal RNA", at positions 355 to 784 of the family's 1533-position model. The record is from RNAcentral.
UGGGGAAUUUUGGACAAUGGGCGAAAGCCUGAUCCAGCAAUGCCGCGUGUGUGAAGAAGGCCUUCGGGUUGUAAAGCACUUUUGUCCGGAAAGAAAUCCUUGGCUCUAAUACAGUCGGGGGAUGACGGUACCGGAAGAAUAAGCACCGGCUAACUACGUGCCAGCAGCCGCGGUAAUACGUAGGGUGCAAGCGUUAAUCGGAAUUACUGGGCGUAAAGCGUGCGCAGGCGGUUUGCUAAGCCGAUGUGAAAUCCCCGGGCUCAACCUGGGAACUGCGUUGGUGACUGGCAGGCUAGAGUAUGGCAGAGGGGGGUAGAAUUCCACGUGUAGCAGUGAAAUGCGUAGAGAUGUGGAGGAAUACCGAUGGCGAAGGCAGCCCCCUGGGGCCAAAUACUGACGUNCAUGCACGAAAGCGUGGGGAGCAAACAGGAUUAGAUA